GCAAUUGGUGGAAAUUCGUCGCGGUUAG
This 28-nucleotide small RNA is filed under the name Bombyx mori (domestic silkworm). RNAcentral's name for it is "ovarian small RNA-16274". The record is from RNAcentral. Lineage: Eukaryota; Metazoa; Arthropoda; Insecta; Lepidoptera; Bombycidae.